UAUCGGAUUAUUGGGCGUAAGAGCUCGUAGGCGGUUUGUCGCGUCUGCCGUGAAAGUCCGGGGCUCAACUCCGGAUCUGCGGUGGGUACGGGCAGACUAGAGUGAUGUAGGGGAGACUGGAAUUCCUGGUGUAGCGGUGAAAUGCGCAGAUAUCAGGAGGAACACCGAUGGCGAAGGCAGGUCUCUGGGCAUUAACUGACGCUGAGGAGCGAAAGCAUGGGGAGCGAACAGGAUUAGAUACCCUGGUAGUCCAUGCCGUAAACGUUGGGCACUAGGUGUGGGGGACAUUCCACGUUUUCCGCGCCGUAGCUAACGCAUUAAGUGCCCCGCCUGGGGAGUACGGCCGCAAGGCUAAAACUCAAAGGAAUUGACGGGGGCCCGCACAAGCGGCGGAGCAUGCGGAUUAAUUCGAUGCAACGCGAAGAACCUUACCAAGGCUUGACAUGGACCGGACCGCCGCAGAAAUGUGGUUUCCCCUUUGGGGCCGGUUCACAGGUGGUGCAUGGUUGUCGUCAGCUCGUGUCGUGAGAUGUUGGGUUAAGUCCCGCAACGAGCGCAACCCUCGUUCUAUGUUGCCAGCGCGUGAUGGCGGGGACUCAUAGGAGACUGCCGGGGUCAACUCGGAGGAAGGUGGGGACGACGUCAAAUCAUCAUGCCCCUUAU
This 663-nucleotide ribosomal RNA is filed under the name Arthrobacter sp. CF32. RNAcentral's name for it is "bacterial SSU rRNA". It matches the Rfam family "Bacterial small subunit ribosomal RNA", at positions 543 to 1205 of the family's 1533-position model. Lineage: Bacteria; Bacillati; Actinomycetota; Actinomycetes; Micrococcales; Micrococcaceae. The record is from RNAcentral.